UGGUUAGGGAUUGAUUUGGGAUUUGGAUUAGGGUUUGGAUUAGAAUUUAGGAUUUGGUUAGGAUUUACGCUUGGAUUAGGGUUUGGAUUAGGGUUUAAGGUUUGGUUAGGGUUUGAUUUAGGGUUUGGAUUAGGAUUUAGGAUUUGAUUAAGGUUUGAUUUAAGGUUUGGAUUAGGGUUUAAUUUAAGGUUUGGUUUAGGAUUUAGGGUUGGAUUAGAGUUUGGAUUAGGAUUUAAGGUUUGAUUUAGGGUUUGGUUUAGGGUUUAGGGUUUGAAAUAGGAUUUGAUUUAUUGUUUAAUUUAAGGUUUGCUUAGGAUUUGACUUAGGAUUUAGGAUUUAUUAGGGUUUAAGAUUUAAUUAG
RNAcentral lists this long non-coding RNA (361 nucleotides) under Physcomitrium patens. Its description in RNAcentral is "long non-coding RNA (PPAT_LNC006756)". Lineage: Eukaryota; Viridiplantae; Streptophyta; Bryopsida; Funariales; Funariaceae. The record is from RNAcentral.